This 253-nucleotide ribosomal RNA is filed under the name uncultured bacterium. RNAcentral describes it as "partial 16S ribosomal RNA". It matches the Rfam family "Bacterial small subunit ribosomal RNA", at positions 524 to 776 of the family's 1533-position model. The record is from RNAcentral.
UACGUAGGGGCCAAGCGUUGUCCGGAUUUAUUGGGCGUAAAGAGCUCGUAGGCGGUCUGUCACGUCGGCUGUGAAAUCCCGAGGCUCAACCUCGGGUCUGCAGUCGAUACGGGCAAACUAGAGUAUUGCAGGGGAGACUGGAAUUCCUGGUGUAGCGGUGAAAUGCGCAGAUAUCAGGAGGAACACCGGUGGCGAAGGCGGGUCUCUGGGCAAUAACUGACGCUGAGGAGCGAAAGCGUGGGGAGCGAACAGG